AGUCGACACGGUAGGUGCAUGGUUGUCGUCAGCUCGUGUCGUGAGAUGUUGUAGUCCCGCACGAGCGCAACCCUUGAUCUUAGUUGCCAGCAUUCAGUUGGGCACUCUAAGGUGACUGCCGGUGACAAACCGGAGGAGGUGGGGAUGACGUCAAAUCAUCAUGCCCCUUAUGACCUGGCUACACACGUGCUACAAUGGAUGGUACAGAAGGGCUGCAAACCUGCGAAGGUAAGCGAAUCCCAUAAAGCCAUUCUCAGUUCGGAUUGCAGGCUGCAACUCGCCUGCAUGAAGCGAAUCGCUAGUAAUCGCGGAUCAGCAUGCCGNGGUGAAUACGUUCCCGGGUCUU
This 346-nucleotide ribosomal RNA is filed under the name uncultured Bacillus sp. RNAcentral describes it as "bacterial SSU rRNA". It matches the Rfam family "Bacterial small subunit ribosomal RNA", at positions 1027 to 1382 of the family's 1533-position model. The record is from RNAcentral. Lineage: Bacteria; Bacillati; Bacillota; Bacilli; Caryophanales; Bacillaceae.